UAGGGAAUCUUCGGCAAUGGGGGGAACCCUGACCGAGCAACGCCGCGUGAGUGAAGAAGGUUUUCGGAUCGUAAAGCUCUGUUGUUAAGGAAGAACGAGUGUGAGAAUGGAAAGUUCAUACUGUGACGGUACUUAACCAGAAAGGGACGGCUAACUACGUGCCAGCAGCCGCGGUAAUACGUAGGUCCCGAGCGUUGUCCGGAUUUAUUGGGCGUAAAGCGAGCGCAGGCGGUUAGAAAAGUCUGAAGUGAAAGGCAGUGGCUCAACCAUUGUAGGCUUUGGAAACUGUUUAACUUGAGUGCAGAAGGGGAGAGUGGAAUUCCAUGUGUAGCGGUGAAAUGCGUAGAUAUAUGGAGGAACACCGGUGGCGAAAGCGGCUCUCUGGUCUGUAACUGACGCUGAGGCUCGAAAGCGUGGGGAGCGAACAGGAUUAGAUACCCUGGUAGUCCACGCCGUAAACGAUGAGUGCUAGGUGUUAGGUCCUUUCCGGGANNAUAGUGCCGCAGCUAACGCAUUAAGCACUCCGCCUGGGGAGUACGACCGCAAGGUUG
Molecule: ribosomal RNA, 551 nt
Filed under: uncultured bacterium
Lineage: Bacteria
Description: bacterial SSU rRNA
Rfam family: Bacterial small subunit ribosomal RNA
Source: RNAcentral